This is a long non-coding RNA of Erpetoichthys calabaricus (reedfish), 490 nucleotides long. RefSeq lists it as uncharacterized. The transcript is spliced from 3 exons. NCBI's taxonomy places the organism in Eukaryota, Metazoa, Chordata, Cladistia, Polypteriformes, Polypteridae. The record is from RefSeq and is a predicted model, not a curated record.
GAUGAUAAUCCUACUUGCAUCAUGUGUUACAUACAUUUUGUGGAAAAGGGAACUGUGUCAGUAAUAUGUUGAGCUGACUUCAUUGCCCUCUGUAGUGCUUUGUAGUCCUGAGCUGAGCAGGUGCUGCACCACAAUGGCAUACAGUAAAUGAGUAUGGAUUCCUUUUUGCACAGGAAGAAGUUGGUGAGAUGUUUCAGCUUUCUUCAGAACAUCUGAGGAAGUAGAGGUGUUGGUGAAAAGGCCUGAUGGUUAUCGAUCACCUCAAAGAUAAUUGACAUGGACCAGACAGGGGUUGGAUACCAGGCAAGGACAGCUCCAUCCUUUCCAACUGUCAACAUGGAGAGGCCUGGAAGUCUUGCCUCUGAUUAUUAAAAUUGUGAUGUCAUUGAAAGCCCAAUGUUGCUGUAAGAUCAUAUAUGAUCCAAAAACUAAGGUAAGAUUUUUUCUGUCUCUCUUUUCUAUUGUAUCAUGGCACAAAAGUAAACUUGUU